AAGAAGAGGACAGAUUUCCCAAGUCAUCAGUCCAAGGUAUAUGAACAGUCCCAUUGGACUUGGUGUCUACAACACACAGUAGGUGCCCGCAACCCACCGUAGGUGCCUAGUACACUUCUGGUGAAGGAUGGAAGGUGAGAGCCACUGCUGAGGUCCAAAAUGCCACCCAAAUUCAGGGCAACCUCUAGAAAGGAGCUGCAAAAAUAUACUUUCCUCCCUUGGCCCAAAGCCACCGAGUGCCUGCCCUAGAAUAGUCCCUGCUGAGGAGCCCUGAGAAAGCUGCAGCAAGUCCAGAGAGGAGGAAUGAACUCCAUCGAGCACGGGAAUGGGGUGGGGCAGCCUGCACGGGCCAAAAAAAGGGCCUGAGACGCUUUGCUCAAAAAGACAAAGAGAGGCGAGGGAAGGAAGACUAUAAACUUGCCAGGAGCCGGGGCAAGGUGAACCCCAGCUCCUGGCGCCUUCCUGUUCGCAUUCAUUCCACAAAUGCCGGCCAGAUCGCAGAACCAAAGGCGAGAGGAGGGGACCUCCCGGCAGCCCGGGAGAACUAAGUUCAGGACAGGAGCGGGGAAGGCCUGCUUCUCAGAAGAGGAGUGACUUGGGCGACAAACUUGUGGGACAUCAAAAAUGAAAGCAAACCGAUGCAGUAAGGCGCUGAGCCAACCUACAUGCCACGGGGCAGGUCACCAAGGACGUUUAACGAAUUGGUCAUUUGUGUGCAUCGGGCAAAAGAAUCCACCCCCGUGGUCCGGUAACAAUUUUGCGACCCAGAUGGGACAAUGCCUGAAACUCUGGAGCCACAGUAAGACAGACUCCAGUCCCUUGGCACUUUAAAAACUUCAAAGAGAGAAACAGUUUCAAGUCUGGACAUCUGACUGGGCUACACAAUGUCCUGAGAUGGGUCAUUAUGAGAAAAAUGUCAGUCACAGCUUUAAGACUUAACUUUGGAAGGAACCAAUGAAAAAGCCAAUUGGAAGCUUUCAGGAAAAGUCCAGCACUGCAUUUACACAAAGUCUAUGGGAAGAGGUCAGUAGAAAUCAUCUAAUCUUAAGUCGUGACAUCAUCCAUUCAAGUCCUUGGCACAGUCCCUCGCUGCUACACAAUGUUCUGAGAUGGGUCAUUAUGAGAAAAAUGGCAAUCACAGCUUUAAGACUUAACUUUGGGAGGAACCAAUGAAAAAGGCAAUUGGAAGGUGAUUGAACAGUGUCCAUAUCCUGGUGAAGAGAAUUCCUGUUCUUGGGCAGCAGUCCCCCUCCAGCCACCCGGGCCGCGCGGCCUCCAGCUCCCGCGCUUGGCGGCCCGCUUCCCAGGAAGCGAAGGGACUUGGAAACCCAGGUCACCCAGCUGUGCCACACCCCACUGCUGUGGCCGCGGCACUCUCCUGGCUCACGGACAUCACCGCUGCGUUGUCUGUGAUGAGCCUCACGGGCCACCAUCCUUCACCACUUCCUCUCUGGCGGCUCCAGUGGCGGCUUCCCCAUAGUGUGUUGAUGAGGGUGGAAACUUUGAUUGGGCUAUUUCUAUGGAGGGUGGGUCUGGAUUGGUUCACUGGAGUACUUAAGAGAGCUGAAUGCCCUCACAAUGACGAUUGGAGAAGCUUGGAGAUGCAGACAGAAAGACGUUUGGAGAUGCUAAGCUAAGAGAUGAAGCCCAGAGUUUGCCCAGGAGAAGCUAAGAGAAGGCCCCCAGAUGCUUAGAGAGAAAUGCCCUAGGAG
Molecule: long non-coding RNA, 1712 nt
Organism: Choloepus didactylus (southern two-toed sloth)
Lineage: Eukaryota; Metazoa; Chordata; Mammalia; Pilosa; Megalonychidae
Exons: 7
Source: RefSeq, a predicted model, not a curated record